AACUUUAUAGUUUAUAAAAAACUUAAUCUUUUCAAGAUUACAAAAUAUUUUUUUAAGUUU
RNAcentral lists this transfer RNA (60 nucleotides) under Elateroidea sp. 5 KM-2017. Its description in RNAcentral is "tRNA-Glu". The record is from RNAcentral. Lineage: Eukaryota; Metazoa; Arthropoda; Insecta; Coleoptera.